AAAUCACCUAUCGAGUUGGGUAUGCGAAUUAACGAUGCACAAUAAGAGGCAUCUAGAGUCUUGAGCUUCUUUAAAGAUCCGAUGGAUUCAGGUAAUUCUUUAAUGGUCAUAGAUUUGAAAUGCAACUCAGUCAAUGAUGUUAACUUUCCAAUCCAAUUUGGAAUUUGUCUCAACUUAUGGCAUCCCGACAAUAACAACCGUGAUAAAGACAUGAGGGAGCCUAUAGAUUUUGGAAGUUGAGCAAGUUUUUCACAUCCUGUUAGGUCAAGGUGAGACAGAGAUGCUAAAUCACCUAUCGAGUUGGGUAUAAGAGUUAACGAUGCACAAUAAGAGGCAUUUAGAGUCUUCAACUUCCUUAGGGAUCCAAUGAAUUCAGGCAAUUCUUCAAUAGUCGUAAAAUUCAAAUGCAACUCAGUCAACGAGGUCAACUUUUCGAUCGAGUCUGGGAUUUGUCUCAAUGAGUGGCAUUUUGACAAUAAUAACGUCGGUAGAGACACAAGGGAGCCUAUGGAGUUUGGAAGUUGAGUAAGUUUUUUGCAUU
Molecule: long non-coding RNA, 541 nt
Filed under: Eucalyptus grandis
Lineage: Eukaryota; Viridiplantae; Streptophyta; Magnoliopsida; Myrtales; Myrtaceae
Description: long non-coding RNA (EGRA_LNC001404)
Source: RNAcentral